CAAAUGCAAUAGAAAUGUGUGCUGAACCUGAAAGGCUCUGGAAGCAUGAUUAUUAUUUAGGCUUCUAAAUGUGGAAGUAUGAAUGACUAGAUAUUGACAAGUUCAGAAAAUCUCAAGGUUUGUAAAAAAUGUUUAGCCUAGCAAGAUUCUGUAGUGUACCAAAUUGCUUAUUUAUAUGUUUUCUCCAUCAUUAAUAGAAAUAGACUUUCAGGGAGUUCCCACUGUGGCUCAGUGGAAAUGAAUCUGACGAGUGUCUAUGAGGACGCGGGUUCAAUCCCUGGCCCCACUCAGUGGGUUAAGGAUCCAGCGUUGCUGUGAACUGUGGUGUAGGGUCAUAGAUACGCGGUACAGAUCUGGUGUUGCUGUGGCUGUGGUAUAGGCUGGCAGCUACAGCUCCAGUUCGACCCCUAGCCUGGGAACCUCCAAAUGCCACAGGUAUGGCCCUAAAAAGAGAAAAAAAGAGAAACAGAAUUUCAACUGGGCAAUUGGCCAUUUAGCUAAAGGCUGAAAGGAAUUCCCUUAAAGGGACGAACUGGGUACACACCUCCCCUGGGCCCUUUCCCUGUCACUGGCUGGGAGGUAGUGACAUGUGGAUCAGUUCCUUUGGACCCGCUUGGAGGAGCCACGUGUUGAAGAUGGCAGAGCCAUCCCACUGAUUCUGGACCAACACAUGAAAAAGAAGUUAACCUUUCCUGUGUGCAAGCCAUUGCACUCUGGGGACUCAUUUUGCUGCAGUCGAGCCUGCACCCUAGUUAAUACACCUACCAGGAGAUGGAAUGAGGCAUCUAGUGCCACAAUCCACUGCUCUCCAGGAGUCUUAUGUCCCUUAGGAUUCAACUUGCCCCAACUGAGAUAGGCCAGUGGGCAAUCGUACUACUUGAAAUACCUUGUGGAUUAUACACACUUAGCCUUUUCUUUUUCCCUUGAAAAGGGAAGGCACAUUUUUUUUUUUUCUUUCAAGGGAAUUAAUAUAAUGUCCGCAGAAUGAAGACCUUUUUGUGGUGGUUGUUUCGAAAUCUCAAACCAGUGUAUUUUUGUCUUAGAAAAUACUGAGUUCCUCCUUUCCUGGCGUGGUGGGGUUCCUCUCUACCCAUCGAGAUACUUAAGGGAGAAGUUCAUUCCAUAAGGGGGUUCAGAUAUGGCCAAGAACACUGUGUGUCGAACUUUCUGUGGUGAAGUGUUUCUUUUUUCUUCUUCUUCUUUCAAUUCGUUAUUUUGAAAAAUAUAAAGUCUGAAUGACUAGAGAAAUUAAGAAUGAACAUAAAUGUAAGAGACGCAAUGGUUUCAUUAAAUUCAACAGACAUGGAAUUAGUCUGCCAGAUUUCUAGACAAGUUCCUAAACACUUAGCCUCAAUCCCUCUGCUUCAUUGUUGCAGACAAGUGACAGACUCACGGGGGGCAGGCGCCAGUGUGAGUGGAAAUCACUGGAUCGAUGAUCAAGGGGAUUGUUGCCCAGCUUUCAGUGGCGCGUUGGAGUCUUUUGAGGAAUUCAUCUUGAAACCCGGGAUUUAUUGAGAGCUAAAAGGUUUUUGAAGUUUCCAGUGUUUCCCUUCACAUAUCAAAAGUAAAACGAGGAGGUUUUACUCCAAGCCGUGAUGUUGAAAGAAACAAGACAUAUGGUGCAGAGUUUCCCUCCCAAGGAAGGCGAAAACCUCUUUCAGUCACUGAAGAGUGGGGCACAGAGAGGGGGCAGAGGUUCCAAUGUGAGAGCCCUUGCUCUGUUCUGGAGGAUGAAUUCCCUUUGGUCUACAGAAACAGCCAAAUAUAUUGGGCUGUCCCUGGGUCCCAAACUGCUUCCUUGGGUCCAGCUUGGGGCGACUCUAGGUGUGUCAGAGAUGUGCUCAUUCAGCACAGCAUCAUGUCCAUCAUGGCAAGAAGCAAGGGCCCACCGUGGAAGAGGAAGGUGCCUGGAGAAAUGGUUCUAGCAGCACAGUUCCUGGGAUUUGUAUGUGGUGUCAGCAGAUCCAGGAGUUCUGACGGGUCCCAGUGAGGGAACAUGGCUGUGGAGAAAGGUGUGCUGGAUGGGGAGAGGUCUGGGGUCAGAGGAACAGGGGGUCCUUGUGGCCACAGUCAGUGGUGAGGUCCCUAGUCCUUGGCGGCAGGAACCAUUGAAACACCUUAAAAGUCCAGGACCCAUCAUCUAAGACUCCUCAAGACUACGGCGCCGAGGCAAGCAGCAUUGCCUUGUUGAUUUUGUUCUUAGUAUAUAAAUGUCGGAAUAAUGACAGCUAUGGCUGAGCAGAAUGGCUUCACGAUUCUAAAAGUCUACCAAAUGUUAGCGCUAAGUCCAACCAGGGCUUUGUGAACUCUUCUGAGAGGUCGUAAAGACAAAGGCUUUGGAGUCAGACGGACCUGGGGUUACCCCUGGCUCUGCCAUCUACUUACUCUGCAACCUUGGGGACAUCUGCCUUGCAGGAUUUUGGGGAGGAUUAGCAAACAUGUGUAAAUCACCUUAAGUCUAUGCGUAUGCUCAGUACAGAGAAGAUAAUUCAAGAAAUGGAUGUUGUUCUUUUUUAAAAAAAAAUUGAAAGGUAGUUUAUUUACAGUGUUGUGUUUCAAGUAUACGGCAGAGUGAUUCGGGUCACUUUCAUAUAUACAGAUUCUUUCUAUGCAUUACGAGAUACUGAUUCUAGUUCCUUGUGCUAUACAGUAGGUCCUUGUUGUUCACCAUUUGUAUACAUAGUGGUGUGUAUAUGUUAGUACCAAACUCCUAAAAUAUCUCCCCACCCCUUCCUGCUGUCGCCUUUGGUAAUCAUAAAUUUGUUUUCUUUGUCUGUGACUCUGUUCUUGUUUUGUAAAUAAUUUCAGUUGUAUCAUUUUUUAGUUUCAACAUAUAAGUGAUAUAUAUGGUAUUUGUCUUUCUCUUUCUGACUGAUUUCACUUAGUAUGAUAAUCUCUGCAUCCGGAUUGCUCCAAAUGGCCAUAUUUCAUUCUUUUUUUUCUUUUUUUUUAUGCCUGAGUAAUAGAAAGUUGUUCUUAUAUUGUCUUGUGAUUUGCAACCUGGCACCCUUCUCUUUCAGUUCUCUCUUUUAAGAAAGAAUUGAGGAGUUCCCAUUGUGGCGCAGCAGAAAUGAAUCCAACUAGGAACCAUGAGGUAGCGGUUUCUACCCCUGGCCUCGCUCAGUGGGUCAAGGAUCUGGUGUUGCCAUGAACUGUGGUGUAGGUCACAGACACAGGUCGGAUCUGGCGUGGCUCUGGCUGUGGUGUAGGCCGGCGGCUACGGUUCUGAUUAGACCCCUAGCCUGGGAAACUCCAUGUGCCACAGGUACAGCCCUAAAAAAGACAAAAAGACAAAACAAGAACAACAAAAAAAAAAA
RNAcentral lists this long non-coding RNA (3317 nucleotides) under Sus scrofa (pig). Its description in RNAcentral is "lncRNA (ENSSSCG00050043260.1)". The record is from RNAcentral. Lineage: Eukaryota; Metazoa; Chordata; Mammalia; Artiodactyla; Suidae.